UAGGGAAUAUUGGACAAUGGGUGAGAGCCUGAUCCAGCCAUGCCGCGUGCAGGAAGAAGGCGUUAUGCGUUGUAAACUGCUUUUGCCAGGGGAUAAAAUGAGCGUGCGCGCUUAAUUGAAGGUACCUGGUGAAUAAGCCACGGCUAACUACGUGCCAGCAGCCGCGGUAAUACGUAGGUGGCAAGCGUUGUCCGGAUUUAUUGGGUUUAAAGGGUGCGUAGGUGGCCCUGUAAGUCAGUGGUGAAAUAUCUCAGCUUAACUGAGAGGGUGCCAUUGAUACUGCAGGGCUUGAGUACAGAUGAGGUAGGCGGAAUUGACGGUGUAGCGGUGAAAUGCAUAGAUAUCGUCAAGAACACCGAUAGCGAAGGCAGCUUACCAAGCUGUAACUGACACUGAGGCACGAAAGUGUGGGGAUCAAACAGGAUUAGAUACCCCUGUAGUCCCUGAGCGGGCUGGCAAGGCGCAU
Molecule: ribosomal RNA, 466 nt
Filed under: uncultured bacterium
Lineage: Bacteria
Description: bacterial SSU rRNA
Rfam family: Bacterial small subunit ribosomal RNA
Source: RNAcentral